RNAcentral lists this ribosomal RNA (426 nucleotides) under uncultured Rhodocyclaceae bacterium. Its description in RNAcentral is "bacterial SSU rRNA". It matches the Rfam family "Bacterial small subunit ribosomal RNA", at positions 957 to 1382 of the family's 1533-position model. Lineage: Bacteria; Pseudomonadati; Pseudomonadota; Betaproteobacteria; Rhodocyclales; Rhodocyclaceae. The record is from RNAcentral.
CAACGCGAAAACCUUACCACCUUUGACAUGUACGGAACUCGCCAGAGAUGGCUUGGUGCUCGAAAGAGAACCGUAACACAGGUGCUGCAUGGCUGUCGUCAGCUCGUGUCGUGAGAUGUUGGGUUAAGUCCCGCAACGAGCGCAACCCUUGUCAUUAGUUGCCAUCAUUUGGUUGGGCACUCUAAUGAGACUGCCGGUGACAAACCGGAGGAAAGGUGGGGAUGACGUCAAAGUCCUCAUGGCCCUUAUGGGUAGGGCUUCACACGUCAUACAAUGGUCGGUACAGAGGGUUGCCAACCCGCGAGGGGGAGCUAAUCCCACAAAGCCGAUCGUAGUCCGGAUCGCAGUCUGCAACUCGACUGCGUGAAGUCGGAAUCGCUAGUAAUCGUGGAUCAGCAUGUCACGGUGAAUACGUUCCCGGGUCUU